GCUGGUGAUAUCUUGCUGGGGACUCCAAAUGUUAUACCCAACAUGAGUGGAAUUAUAGAGAAAACACCAGCACACUGAGUUCAAAUUAGGUAC
This 93-nucleotide microRNA precursor is filed under the name Otolemur garnettii (small-eared galago). RNAcentral's name for it is "miRNA (ENSOGAG00000026088.1)". The record is from RNAcentral. Lineage: Eukaryota; Metazoa; Chordata; Mammalia; Primates; Galagidae.